RNAcentral lists this transfer RNA (103 nucleotides) under Nanobdellota archaeon. RNAcentral describes it as "tRNA-Ile". It matches the Rfam family "tRNA". Rfam says of the family: Transfer RNA (tRNA) molecules are approximately 80 nucleotides in length. Their secondary structure includes four short double-helical elements and three loops (D, anti-codon, and T loops). The record is from RNAcentral. Lineage: Archaea; Nanobdellati; Nanobdellota.
GGGCCCGUAGCAUAGUCUGGAAAUCUUAAUGGUUGAAAGAUUAGGCAACUGGUGCGCUCGACUGAUAAUCGAGUGGUCCGGAGUUCAAAUCUCCGCGGGCCCA